Molecule: long non-coding RNA, 1513 nt
Organism: Mauremys mutica (yellowpond turtle)
Lineage: Eukaryota; Metazoa; Chordata; Testudines; Geoemydidae
Exons: 4
Source: RefSeq, a predicted model, not a curated record
GAACUAAAUUUCAGAGCUUAGACCCUAUCUCACUAACAGGCUCCACCAAUACACUGGAACAGACUACUACAAAUUUCGUGAGGCUCAGAAUGUGGGUGAAUGCUAGGUGAGUGCUCUAACCACUGGGCUGUACAGUCAGUCACACUCUCUUUCCUUGGCUUAAUGGCUAUUCAUAGCCUUUGGGGCAGGGAAUGGAUGUGAGAAUAAUUUUACAGCCCAGCAGGUUAAAGCGCACACCUAGGAUGUGGGACGCUCAAGUUCACUCCCUGCUCCUGUAAGCCAGUGUCUGAAUGACCUCUCCUCUCCCUUCUAUUGAAGAACUGGGGCAAAGGAAAUCAGGAGCAGACUGUAUUUGCAUAGACAGACCAACUCUGUGUAGGCGAUCAGCAGACAGAUCUGCUUUGCUAAACUGACCAGUUUGGGGUCUUUCCUGUUGUACUGGAAAACCCAGGAGCACCACAGGUAGAAGAGUAUUUGUAAGCUAUCACGAUCACUAAGGAAUUGUGGUUCAAGUUCAGUAUAUCCUGAUCAUUAUGAACCUUCUGGAUAACAGCUGAAUCAGAACUUUACCGAGUGGUGAUUAAGAAAAUCCCAUGAGUCCAUUGGACUGCAGUCCUGCAGCAUUACACUUUAUGGAAGAAUACUCCUUCACUCCUUUUGACCAAGAAUCCUGAGUGGGAACAAAGAACAGAGGGACAGAUGGGGAUGUCUUGGCAGAAUAAAACCCACAGGAGCUUUGCUGCCAUGCGGGAUAAGAGAGAACCGCUGAGCAGCACAGAAGGGUUGGCCUUCUGUGCAAAUGCGUCAGCUCUCCAUAGAAGCUCAGAUCUGUGAACUUUAUUUCUGUACAUCUCGAGUCGCCUUUAGCCCUGGAGGACCACAACCCCAGUUAAAACUUCUGGAUGCCAAACCAUGCAAACUUGAAAUACAAACAUAAGAAUGGCCAUACUGGGUCAGACAUCUAGCCCAGUAUUCUGUCUCUGACAGUGGCCAGUGCCAGAUUCUUCUGGCACUUGGAGGUUUAGGAAAACCCAAAACACAGGUUUGCAUCCCUAUCUUGGCUAACAGCCAUUGAUGGACCUAUCUUCCAUGAACUGUCCUUAGUGAAGAUGGUGGCACCUGACAACUCUGCCCUGUACUGACACCAUCAAUGGAGAGGAAAAAUCCAAUCUCUUUAAAUACAAAUUUAAUCUAAUCCAGUAAAGCAAACACUUUUAUGCUCUAAUCAUAAUUAUAUAGUUUUGUAGCAUCUCCAGAGUGUGAAGUUAAGGUUAUCUGAAUACCUCAACUGUGCAUUUCCAUACUUUAAUAAAUUUAGAUUUGUUUAAAAUUUGUUUAACUGGGUUUCCAAUAUUUCUUUGGGGGGAAAUUACAACAUGCCUAUAAUAUUUUUAUGCUUAACUCCUGUUAUAUAUAAAAACAGGAAUUAAGGGUAUGUGUGUGUAUUAUAAUUUCCUUUGUCCUCCUCAUCAAUUUCUAUGGAUGCUUUCUGAGUGAAUUGUAGUUUUAUGAA